RNAcentral lists this transfer-messenger RNA (380 nucleotides) under Alphaproteobacteria bacterium. It matches the Rfam family "Alphaproteobacteria transfer-messenger RNA". Rfam says of the family: Bacterial tmRNA, also known as 10Sa RNA or SsrA, is named for its dual tRNA and mRNA-like properties. Its role is to liberate the mRNA from a stalled ribosome. The record is from RNAcentral. Lineage: Bacteria; Pseudomonadati; Pseudomonadota; Alphaproteobacteria.
UCACUUCACAUUCAGGAUUGCCGCGCUAUAUCAGUCGUGCCGGUUUCGACCGGAUAUGGCGAUAAAUGGCUGCGUAUAAUAGAUGCAACGGACCCGGGGGCAGUACCCGGCGGCUCCACCAGAAACGGCGACUUUUCGCCAGUUCUGAUGGGGCCGAACCAGGAUCGACGUGUGUUGAAAAGCGUAGUUUUUGCCCGGGCUGAGUAACCCGCAUAAGGCUCAAAAACCAUAAGUGCCAACGAUAACGAAGCACUCGCAAUCGCUGCGUAAUUGAUGGGCUAACGCCCUGAUAUUAUUAGGCUAAAAAGCGCGGUUGGACCGACCGGGCAACAGAACGGAUUCCGGGGCUCCGGGGGUAGCUAGCAACAGAAACCCCCACC